GGAUGAGCCGAGAAAGUGGAGUUAUCACCGAGAGUGAGUCCUAUGUAUUCUUCGAUGCUCGAAUGCUGCUUGCUUUGUGCUUUGUGGAACUCUCGAUGAUGGGAGUCAGCUACCAAGUGAAUAUGACGAUAUUCAGGAGGUAGAUGGCUGGCAUCAUUAGGAGCUCUUCAGCAGCUGAUGGCAGAGAAGUGUGGGAAUCUAGGAAGAGCCUAGGGAGUAACCUUAGCCAGAUGAGUGCGCUGGCAGAGUAGAGAAUUUCGCUGGGGAGCGAGCGCGCGACGGAAUUGGUGAACGAGAAGGUCGAGCAGCUACUUAGGAGCUCCGGGAUAGUCCGUGUGGAAAGUAUGGGUAGAUGUGGCAGGUAGUAUGGGCCCGUACUACUGAAAGCAGAGGACCCAUACUUGAUACAGGGAGUAUUCUGAAGGUUCUAAGGAGCGGAUUGAGGAGUGAUGUUAUGGUUCGAGUACCAUACAUCGGAGCGGAUUGAGGAGUGAUGUUAUGGUUCGAGUACCAUACAUCGGAGCGGAUUGAGGAGUGAUGUUAUGGUUCGAGUACCAUACAUCGGAGCGGAUUGAGGAGUGAUGUUAUGGUUCGAGUACCAUACAUCGGAGCAGAUUGAGGAGUGAUGUUAUGGUUCGAGUACCAUACAUCGGAGCGGAUUGAGGAGUGAUGUUAUGGUUCGAGUACCAUACAUCGGAGCGGAUUGAGGAGUGAUGUUAUGGUUCGAGUACCAUACAUCGGAGCGGAUUGAGGAGUGAUGUUAUGGUUCGAGUACCAUACAUCGGAGCGGAUUGAGGAGUGAUGUUAUGGUUCGAGUACCAUACAUCGGAGCGGAUUGAGGAGUGAUGUUAUGGUUCGAGUACCAUACAUCGGAGCGGAUUGAUGAGUGAUGUUAUGGUUUGAGUACCAUACAUUGGAGCGGAUUGAGGAGUGAUGUUAUGGUUCGAGUACCAUACAUCGGAGUGGACUAAGGAGUGAUGUUACGGUUCGAGUACCGUACGCCGGAGCAUAUUGAGAAGAGAUGUCAUGGAAUGAGUACCAUGGUUCGUAGGGAAUGAUGCUUGUGGUUCUCCGGCUAUCCGGUCAUGUUUGAGUUCGAAGAGGCGUCCCUUGAGAGGGAGAUCGAGAGCCUCUCAGACUAUUUUAGUAAGGAGUCAGUGAGAAGGGAGAAUUUCGAUCUGAGUUGAGCGAUCAGUCAAUAAGGGAGAUGUCACCUUCUAUGAUCUGGGUGGUACUGAUUAUGUUUGUGUGCAAAAUAUGAGAAGCAUGAUGUUUAAGGUAGCAUGUGUGCCGCGAGGCAGUGAUUUAUCAUGAUCUGAUAUUCAGUUGGGACUGAGAUAGUCGAGGACCACAUUACGCCUAUUUUAGUAUAGUANGAGUAUGUGAUGAGUAAGAGUAUCCAGUUAGAACCCAUGAGGGGUAGAGUUACAGAGUUCGGUGGUACUUUCGAGGAUGAGCCGACAAAGUGGAGUUAUCACCGAGAGUGAGUCCUAUGUAUUCUUCAAUGCUCGAAUGCUGCUUGCUUUGUGUUUUGUGGAACUCUCGAUGAUGGGAGUCAGCUACCAAGUGAAUAUGACGAUAUUCAGGAGGUAGAUGGCUGGCAUCAUUAGGAGCUCUUCAGCAGCUGAUAGCAAAGAAGUAGGAGGACCAAGGAAGAGCCUAGGGAGUAACCUUAGCCAGAUGAGUGCGCUGGUAGGGUAGAGAAUUUCGCUGGGGAGCGAGCACGCGCGAUGGGAUUGGUGAAAGAGCAGGUCGAGCAGCUACUUAGGAGCUCUGGGAUGGUCCGUGUGGAAAGUAUGGGUAGAUGUGGCAGGUAGUAUGGGCCCGUACUACUGAAAGCAGAGGACCCAUACUUGAUACAGG
Molecule: long non-coding RNA, 1863 nt
Filed under: Lactuca sativa (garden lettuce)
Lineage: Eukaryota; Viridiplantae; Streptophyta; Magnoliopsida; Asterales; Asteraceae
Description: long non-coding RNA (LSAT_LNC001258)
Source: RNAcentral